RNAcentral lists this ribosomal RNA (301 nucleotides) under uncultured bacterium. Its description in RNAcentral is "partial 16S ribosomal RNA". It matches the Rfam family "Bacterial small subunit ribosomal RNA", at positions 509 to 807 of the family's 1533-position model. The record is from RNAcentral.
CAGCCGCCGCGGUAAUACAGAGGGUGCGAGCGUUAAUCGGAUUUACUGGGCGUAAAGCGCGCGUAGGCGGUUACUCAAGUCAGAGGUGAAAGCCCGGGGCUCAACCCCGGAACUGCCUUUGAAACUAGGUGACUAGAAUCUUGGAGAGGUCAGUAGAAUUCCGAGUGUAGAGGUGAAAUUCGUAGAUAUUCGGAAGAACACCAGUGGCGAAGGCGACUGACUGGACAAGUAUUGACGCUGAGGUGCGAAAGCGUGGGGAGCAAACAGGAUUAGAUACCCCAGUAGUCCCUGUCUCUUAUAC